Molecule: transfer RNA, 79 nt
Filed under: Axinella corrugata
Lineage: Eukaryota; Metazoa; Porifera; Demospongiae; Axinellida; Axinellidae
Description: tRNA-Ser
Rfam family: tRNA
About the family: Transfer RNA (tRNA) molecules are approximately 80 nucleotides in length. Their secondary structure includes four short double-helical elements and three loops (D, anti-codon, and T loops).
Source: RNAcentral
GGAAAAGUGGCAGAGUGGUAAUGCAGUUGUCUUGAAAUCAACCGCCAAUGGCACAUAGGUUCAAAUCCUGUCUUUUCCU